This 500-nucleotide ribosomal RNA is filed under the name uncultured Actinomycetes bacterium. RNAcentral describes it as "bacterial SSU rRNA". It matches the Rfam family "Bacterial small subunit ribosomal RNA", at positions 8 to 522 of the family's 1533-position model. The record is from RNAcentral. Lineage: Bacteria; Bacillati; Actinomycetota; Actinomycetes.
AGAGUUUGAUCAUGGCUCAGGACGAACGCUGGCGGCGUGCUUAACACAUGCAAGUCGAACGGAAAGGCUCCUUCGGGGGUACUCGAGUGGCGAACGGGUGAGUAACACGUGGGUGAUCUGCCCUGCACUCCGGGAUAAGCCUGGGAAACUGGGUCUAAUACCGGAUACACCUCAUGGACUGCAUGGUCUGUGGGGGAAAGCUUUUGCGGUGUGGGAUGGGCCCGCGGCCUAUCAGCUUGUUGGUGGGGUGAUGGCCUACCAAGGCGACGACGGGUAGCCGGCCUGAGAGGGUGACCGGCCACACUGGGACUGAGAUACGGCCCAGACUCCUACGGGAGGCAGCAGUGGGGAAUAUUGCACAAUGGGCGCAAGCCUGAUGCAGCGACGCCGCGUGAGGGAUGACGGCCUUCGGGUUGUAAACCUCUUUCAGUACCGACGAAGCGCAAGUGACGGUAGGUACAGAAGAAGGACCGGCCAACUACGUGCCAGCAGCCGCGGUA